GGCUGCGUAGCUCAGUUGGUUAGAGCAGCGGAUUCAUAAGCCGCGGGUCGGUGGUUCGAAUCCACCCGCAGCCACCA
RNAcentral lists this transfer RNA (77 nucleotides) under Phycisphaerae bacterium. RNAcentral describes it as "tRNA-Met". It matches the Rfam family "tRNA". From Rfam's summary of the family: Transfer RNA (tRNA) molecules are approximately 80 nucleotides in length. RNAcentral also lists the same sequence under 1 other name. The record is from RNAcentral. Lineage: Bacteria; Pseudomonadati; Planctomycetota; Phycisphaerae.